Molecule: small nuclear RNA, 61 nt
Filed under: Canis lupus dingo (dingo)
Lineage: Eukaryota; Metazoa; Chordata; Mammalia; Carnivora; Canidae
Source: RNAcentral
GUGAUCACUUCAGCAGCACAUAUGCUAAAAUUGUAAUGAUACAGAGAAAAUUAACAUGGCC